AGCUUUGUGCAGUGGCAGUAUCAUAGCCAAUGAGGUCUAUAUGAGGAGUGAUUACUGCUAAUUGAAAACUUUUCCCAAGAGU
RNAcentral lists this small nuclear RNA (82 nucleotides) under Fukomys damarensis (Damara mole-rat). Its description in RNAcentral is "U4 spliceosomal RNA". It matches the Rfam family "U4 spliceosomal RNA", at positions 1 to 82 of the family's 138-position model. Rfam says of the family: U4 small nuclear RNA (U4 snRNA) is a component of the major U2-dependent spliceosome. The structure of U4 snRNA from yeast and human has been reported. Lineage: Eukaryota; Metazoa; Chordata; Mammalia; Rodentia; Bathyergidae. The record is from Rfam by way of RNAcentral.